This 254-nucleotide ribosomal RNA is filed under the name uncultured bacterium. RNAcentral's name for it is "partial 16S ribosomal RNA". It matches the Rfam family "Bacterial small subunit ribosomal RNA", at positions 524 to 776 of the family's 1533-position model. The record is from RNAcentral.
UACAGAGGGGGCAAGCGUUGCUCGGAAUCACUGGGCGUAAAGGGUGCGUAGGCGGGUCUUUUAAGUCAGGGGUGAAAUCCUGGAGCUCAACUCCAGAACUGCCUUUGAUACUGAGGAUCUUGAGUUCGGGAGAGGUGAGUGGAACUGCGAGUGUAGAGGUGAAAUUCGUAGAUAUUCGCAAGAACACCAGUGGCGAAGGCGGCUCACUGGCCCGAUACUGACGCUGAGGCACGAAAGCGUGGGGAGCAAACAGG